UACGGGGGGGGCAAGCGUUGUUCGGAAUUACUGGGCGUAAAGGGCUCGUAGGUGGCCAACUAAGUCAGACGUGAAAUCCCUCGGCUUAACCGGGGAACUGCGUCUGAUACUGGAUGGCUUGAGUUUGGGAGAGGGAUGCGGAAUUCCAGGUGUAGCGGUGAAAUUCGUAGAUAUUGGGAAGAACACCGGUGGCGAAGGCGGCUCACUGGCUCGUAACUGACGCUCAGGCGCGAUAGCGUGGGGAUCAAACAGG
This 253-nucleotide ribosomal RNA is filed under the name uncultured bacterium. RNAcentral's name for it is "partial 16S ribosomal RNA". It matches the Rfam family "Bacterial small subunit ribosomal RNA", at positions 524 to 776 of the family's 1533-position model. The record is from RNAcentral.